Molecule: long non-coding RNA, 1766 nt
Organism: Salvelinus namaycush (lake trout)
Lineage: Eukaryota; Metazoa; Chordata; Actinopteri; Salmoniformes; Salmonidae
Exons: 3
Source: RefSeq, a predicted model, not a curated record
GGGUUUGAAUACUUUCCGAAGGCACUGUUACAUGUCUGUCAUUGAACAACCCCAUGCCACGAUUAGAUGGUGAAAAAACACAUCUCUUUCAGAAGUUCUUCAAAAAAAGAACAGCUAAUUUACAAACAUUUCUGAAAAUGGAUAUAUAGGGUUUGGAAUUAAACUCUUAAUUUACGUUACUUAUUGAUUGAUUUUACAUAACUAGCCUCGUGGAGAACCAGGCUUCCCUAAUAAGGUAAGCCUGGGGAAGUCAAUAAUAUAAAGUGUCUAAAAAGGGUUGGAGACCCAGUGUAAAUCAGUGACGCCUGGCAACACUCAAACCCAUCAACUACCUUGCUUGGUCUGUGUGAAAAGUUUCCCACUCAGUCUCAUACAGUAUGUUGCCUGACUAUAAUAAUUUAUCUUGAUACGUUAAUAAAUACCUACUGUGUUCAUUUUGGCAUGUUUAACUGUCUAGAAUAUCCAUUGUAAUGUGCGUAGACCGCAGACUAACUAACAAAUAAUUGGUAGCUAACUAGCUACCCACGAACAUUGAUUAUUAUGUUACAAGCUUGUGAUUACUUUAUGUAGUUAUCUUGUUUAAUCUCUAUUGGUCAAAGGUAAUACAGUAGCACGGGAGUGUGCACUGCUUCUCAAAUGUACAUUUUCAUGCGUUAUCCACACUCGUCCUCACACGAACCUCUUAAAUAAAACGUCCACGGAGUGACACACGUCAUAACACGUGUGUUAUGUUCUUGAAAUGUACAAUAAAUGCGGCGCUCCAAUGUAGCCGUUUCGGCUAAUACAAACAUCUCCAGACUUCCAAAGGAGCGGCGUGACAACAACGUGAUUUGGAGCGGAAGCCUCAAGUCCAUUUCCUGAGCGGCCUGGUCAGAAGUCUCCAGGCAUCCCCGAACAAAAGAUUUAUUGGAAUCUAAAUCAAUGUGAAAAUGGCCAGGACAAGAUGGAAUCACUGCCCCCUUUUCAGAUCCAGUCUAACUCAAAGCAGCUGCCUUGGAUCCGUAUUUUUCUCUGAUGUGGGUGAAGCACCAUGUGCUGGUCAAGGAAGAGGUCAAAGAGGAGGUGGCACAAAGAGUAAAAGAACUGAUUCUGCAAGAUGCCGCAGGGACUGAGCAAGCUGUGCCUCUUGUUGAUGAGGAAGAGUGAGAGGACCAUAGUCUUGGACAAGAAAAAGGGCUUUUUGCAGGACACUGUAGGCAGAAGAAAGCUGUUGGGACCACUACAGCUAAGUCACUACCUUGACAUAUGCGAAGGACAAAAUGCCCUCUUGUUCUGGGCAAUGAACAUGAAGGCUCUUCCUUCACUGUCCCGAGUGGCCAUCAGGGUCUUGGCAGUGCCUGCCUCCAGUGCUCCGGUGGAGCGUGUCUUCAGCCAUGGUGGCAUCAUACUGCGGCCUCAUCGUGCACAAACGACUGACAGACUUUUAUCGAAUUUGGUCUUUUGCAAAUGCUAUGCAUCAUAGGGCCCUGAGAUAAGAGAAAACAUUUAACUGUUUAUGCAUUACACACACACACACACACACAGUCUCCAUGUUCAGGUUUUAUCUCCCAUCUUUGUGAUCUGUAUUUUUCUCAGACUAUCAGGCCAGUGUUCAAAUUGUAGGCCUACUUGAAGUUCAGUAGCAGUUGUUUUGAUGUACCUUUUAAUAAAUGAUUGUAACUUGAUGGCAGGAUUGUUUUAGGUGUCUAAAAUAUAUCUGGAUAGAGACAGAGAGCACUACAAUAUUUUGUUUUUGUUGUCGUAUUGAUGUGUCUUUCUCAUGGCUA